ACGCUCUUCUGAUACCCUAACCUGCUGAAGCGGUACAGCUACCUAGAAAGUUUUCAGUGUGGAGCUUAUUGUGCAGAGGCAAAGAGGCAGUACUAAGGGGAAAGGAGGCUGUGCUGACAAGAUUUGGCUGACUACUAGUAUGAAAAAGGCACAGGAAUCCCACUGGAAAACUGACUUUGGAUAUAGAGUAUCUAAGAUGCACAUAAAAAUAUUUCCUUUAUAGAUUUUUUUUUUAAAGUUGUACUUCAUAUUUUAUUAUAUUCACAUUUUAAUCUUUCUUGCACAUUCAGGAAAGUAACAGACUUGUAUACGGUGGCAUGAAUUUUAAACUUGUGAU
This is a long non-coding RNA of Gymnogyps californianus (California condor), 337 nucleotides long. RefSeq lists it as uncharacterized. The transcript is spliced from 3 exons. NCBI's taxonomy places the organism in Eukaryota, Metazoa, Chordata, Aves, Accipitriformes, Cathartidae. The record is from RefSeq and is a predicted model, not a curated record.